CGUCCUUCUCAAUCACCAAGCCAAUUCCGCCCGCGCGCGCGGCGACCCAGCCGGCCGCGACUUCGUGUGGCAGGCACCGCGAGGGCGCGUGGGUGUGUACAGAAAACAGAAUAGGGGUCAGCAGCGGCCGCGAGAAGGGGUGGUGUUGGGGGCGCAGCCGACGCGAGCCGCGGCGGUCAAUGAGGCGGGCGCACGCGAUUUUUAGGCGGGGGCACGGAUGGUUCCGUGGAGCCGCC
RNAcentral lists this long non-coding RNA (236 nucleotides) under Setaria italica (foxtail millet). Its description in RNAcentral is "long non-coding RNA (SITA_LNC000772)". The record is from RNAcentral. Lineage: Eukaryota; Viridiplantae; Streptophyta; Magnoliopsida; Poales; Poaceae.